RNAcentral lists this long non-coding RNA (305 nucleotides) under Homo sapiens (human). RNAcentral describes it as "non-protein coding lnc-RAP1GAP2-2:1". Lineage: Eukaryota; Metazoa; Chordata; Mammalia; Primates; Hominidae. The record is from RNAcentral.
GCUGGGCCCGGUGGCUCUCACCUGUAAUCCCAGCACUUUGGGAGGCCAAGGUGGGCAGAUCACUUGCGGUCAGGAGUUUGAGACCAGCCUGGCCAACAUGACGAAAUCUCGUCUCUACUAAAAAUACAAAAAUUAGCCAGGUGUGGUGGUGGGUGCUUGUAAUCCCAGCUACUCGGGAGGCUGAGGCAGGAGAAUCGCUUGAAUCCAGGAGGUGGAGGCUAAUUUUUGUAUUUUUUAGUAGAGAUGGGGUUUUACCAUAUUGGCCAGGAUGGUCUCGAUCUCCUGACCUCGUGAUCUGCCCGCCU